Molecule: ribosomal RNA, 566 nt
Filed under: Stenotrophomonas sp.
Lineage: Bacteria; Pseudomonadati; Pseudomonadota; Gammaproteobacteria; Lysobacterales; Lysobacteraceae
Description: bacterial SSU rRNA
Rfam family: Bacterial small subunit ribosomal RNA
Source: RNAcentral
UACGACCUACGGGUGAAAGCAGGGGAUCUUCGGACCUUGCGCGAUUGAAUGAGCCGAUGUCGGAUUAGCUAGUUGGCGGGGUAAAGGCCCACCAAGGCGACGAUCCGUAGCUGGUCUGAGAGGAUGAUCAGCCACACUGGAACUGAGACACGGUCCAGACUCCUACGGGAGGCAGCAGUGGGGAAUAUUGGACAAUGGGCGCAAGCCUGAUCCAGCCAUACCGCGUGGGUGAAGAAGGCCUUCGGGUUGUAAAGCCCUUUUGUUGGGAAAGAAAUCCAGCCGGCUAAUACCCGGUUGGGAUGACGGUACCCAAAGAAUAAGCACCGGCUAACUUCGUGCCAGCAGCCGCGGUAAUACGAAGGGUGCAAGCGUUACUCGGAAUUACUGGGCGUAAAGCGUGCGUAGGUGGUCGUUUAAGUCCGUUGUGAAAGCCCUGGGCUCAACCUGGGAACUGCAGUGGAUACUGGGCGACUAGAGUGUGGUAGAGGGUAGCGGAAUUCCUGGUGUAGCAGUGAAAUGCGUAGAGAUCAGGAGGAACAUCCAUGGCGAAGGCAGCUACCUGGACC